This 336-nucleotide unclassified non-coding RNA is filed under the name soil metagenome. Its description in RNAcentral is "partial contains 5.8S ribosomal RNA, internal transcribed spacer 2, and large subunit ribosomal RNA". The stretch from base 1 to 120 matches the Rfam family "5.8S ribosomal RNA", at positions 35 to 154 of the family's 154-position model. The record is from RNAcentral.
GAUGAAGAACGUAGCGAAAUGCGAUACGUAAUGUGAAUUGCAGAAUUCAGUGAAUCAUCGAGUCUUUGAACGCACAUUGCGCCCCCUGGUAUUCCGGCGGGCAUGCCUGUUCGAGCGUCAUUUCAACCCUCAAGCUCUGCUUGGUGUUGGGGCCCUACGUCUGACGUAGGCCCUCAAAGACAGUGGCGGACCCUCUCGGAGCCUCCUUUGCGUAGUAACUAACGUCUCGCACUGGGAUUCGGAGGGACUCUUGCCGUAAAACCCCCAAUUUUUACAGGUUGACCUCGGAUCAGGUAGGAAUACCCGCUGAACUUAAGCAUAUCAAUAAGCGGAGGA